AUUAAUGGUUAGAGAGAGAGAGAGAGAGAGAGAGAGAGAGAGAGAGAGAGAGAGGAAUCAAACUAAGACAGAUACAAGCAGAAAGCAAAAAGCAACAGGAGGAGUAAUUCGUUAGCAAAAGAAAGAGACGGCAUGAAUAUAAAAUCAGCGAUUAUGUUAACAAAGCCACAACAGAGAGCGCUUGAUCUCCUUAAACUGCGCCGUUUACGUGUUCUUUAUUCUCCUUCUUCUGCUGCUGCUGUUGACAAUCUAAAUUCUUCGCCUUCCUCUUUUAAUUCCAUCAUUCACUUUCGAUUCGCCUGUUGAAUUUCUCCAAAUUUCUUUCUAAGAUUUUUCCUAUUUAUUUUUCAAUAAUCCGAAAGCCGGUUGAUCCAUUGAUUCCUUCUUUUUUUUAUAUAUAUAUAUAUAUAUUUUAUAUUGUGUCUCUAAUGCUUUCUUGAUUACUGUGUGUGAUCUCAUCUCUGCUUGUAUUUGGCUUAUAUAUGAUGAUUUGAAAAGUUCUGUUAUACCUUUAAUGAAAAUUUUAGGUUGAAAAUUUUUAUGGCUAAAAGAUGGGUAUGCGUUAAUUGAUUGAUUACAAUCUGGGUUUUCAAUAAAUGUUGGUUUGGGUUAUUUCACAAUUGAUUUUGGCGAAGCAGUGUUUUCUUAUGAUCGAAGGGUGAUUGUGCUUUGCUGCUAAGGUGAAUUUUUUGAACUGCAUAUAGAAUACCCAUGAGAGUUUAGACUUUAGUAUGUUAGUGUUGAAUAGUGCUUUUCAAUUUGGAUCCUCUAUAUUGAAAUUAAUGGUGGUCAGUUGUUUUAUCUGGUGCAGGGUGCUCCAUUAUUUUUCAAUUAAUCACCUUUCAGCAUUUCAUUGGAUUGAUGUGCAAUGCAGAGAUCACGGAGAGCUCUUCUUCAAAGAAGAGCUUUUGAGAAGGCUUUCAGUGGAAGAACUCAGUUAUUCAAGUUUUCACUUUCUUUGUUUCUUGUUUUAUGGGGGCUGUUCUUUCUUCUGAGUUUAUGGAUCAGUCGCAGUGAUGGUUAUAGAUAUGAAUCUGCAGUACUUGAAGCCGGCAUAUCUACUUGCAAUGGAGAAAAUUUGGGAGGUUGUAAACCUUCUGAGUCACUGGAAACAAAAUUUUUAAAUAAAAUUUGUUCUGUCUAUUCAGAUGAAAGUUUGUCUACAGAUAGGGAUGAAAAUAGGGUUUCCAAUGAUGAGUUACUUGGCAGUGAAGUAAACACAAAUUAUGCCUUGGUUAUGGAGCAACCUGAGGCAAACUCUGUUUCAGAUGUAAAAUUUGAAACUAAUGGUCCUAAGAUUGACAGACUAUCUCAUUCUGUACCUUUGGGUCUUGACGAAUUCAAAAGCAGAGCAUUCAGCUCUAAAAGUAAAUCAGGAACUGCUCAAGCUGGAGGUGUAAUCCAUAGAUUAGAGCCUGGGGGUAAAGAAUACAAUUAUGCUUCAGCAUCCAAGGGAGCGAAGGUACUGGCUUUUAAUAAGGAAGCAAAGGGGGCCUCUAAUGUCUUAGGCAAAGACAAGGACAAAUACCUUCGAAACCCAUGCUCUGCUGAAGAGAAAUUUGUUGUAAUAGAACUUUCAGAAGAAACAUUAGUAGACACAAUUGAAAUAGCAAAUUUUGAGCACUACUCUUCUAAUUUAAAGGAUUUUGAGCUUCUUGGCAGUUUAGUUUAUCCAACAGACUCAUGGGUCAGGCUCGGCAAUUUUACAGCUGCUAAUGUUAAGCAUUCACAGAGGUUUACCCUUCAGGAGCCGCAGUGGGUGAGAUAUCUGAAGCUGAAUCUUCUUAGCCAUUAUGGUUCAGAGUUUUAUUGUACUCUUAGUAUUGUUGAAGUGUAUGGAGUUGAUGCAGUUGAGCGCAUGCUGGAAGAUUUGAUCUCCGUUGAAAACAAAAUCAUAUAUCAAGAGGGAACUGGUGAGCAGAAACCAUCACCAUCUCUAUCAGAGUCUUCUCGUGUUGAUGAUUAUGAUCAAGAACUGAGGGCUGGUUCUGAAUCUGGCACUUCAGUUGAAAACUCAAACAUGAGGCUUGAAGUAACAAAAAAAAAUUGCCAGAUCAUGUGGAAGAAAUUCAUCACCAACAAGUAGGCAGAGUUCCUGGGGACAGUGUUCUUAAAAUAUUAAUGCAGAAAGUUCAUUCUGUGGACUUAAGUAUAUCUGUUUUGGAACGGUAUCUGGAGGAGGUGAAUUUCAGAUAUGGCAAUAUUUUUAAAGAAUUUGACAAAGAAUUAGGAGAGAAAGAUAUACAUUUAGAGAAAAUCAUAUCUGACAUAAAGAAUCUCCGUGACAGCCAGGAUAUCAUAGCUAAAGAUGUUAACAAUCUUCUUUCUUGGAAAUCCCUUGUUUCUACACAGAUGGACAAUCUCCUCAGGGAUAAUCUUGCUCUCAGGUUAAUGGUUGAACGUGUUCAAGAGAAUCAAAUAUCUAUGGAAAAUAAGGGUAUCACAGUGGUUUUCAUUUGCUUAAUUUUUGGAUUUAUAGCUUUUGCGAGGCUAUUGGUAGAUAUAGUGCUGAGUGUUUACCGGGCAUAUAUUGUUCAAAGAACAGAGGAGUCCAGGAAAUUUUGUUGGAUGAGCUCUUCCUGGCUCUUUCUACUGUUCAACUGUUGCAUUAUUAUAUUAAUAUUGUCAUUAUAAUCUUGUGACAUGGAAGUGUUAUUUGUCUUC
Manihot esculenta (cassava) is the source of this 2664-nucleotide RNA transcript. It is a transcript of the gene named SUN domain-containing protein 4, with no coding region annotated. The transcript is spliced from 4 exons. The record is from RefSeq and is a predicted model, not a curated record. NCBI's taxonomy places the organism in Eukaryota, Viridiplantae, Streptophyta, Magnoliopsida, Malpighiales, Euphorbiaceae.